This 446-nucleotide ribosomal RNA is filed under the name uncultured bacterium. Its description in RNAcentral is "bacterial SSU rRNA". It matches the Rfam family "Bacterial small subunit ribosomal RNA", at positions 217 to 662 of the family's 1533-position model. The record is from RNAcentral.
GGUAUGGGAUGAGCUUGCGUCCGAUUAGCUAGUUGGCGGGGCAACGGCCCACCAAGGCGACGAUCGGUAGCCGGCCUGAGAGGGUGAUCGGCCACAUUGGGACUGAGAUACGGCCCAGACUCCUACGGGAGGCAGCAGUAGGGAAUAUUGCACAAUGGGGGAAACCCUGAUGCAGCAACGCCACGUGUGGGAAGAAGCAUUUCGGUGUGUAAACCACUGUCGUGAGGGAAUAAUACGCGUCUUCGGGCGCGGGAGAAUGUACCUUGAAAGGAAGCACCGGCAAACUUCGUGCCAGCAGCCGCGGUAAUACGAGGGGUGCAAGCGUUGUUCGGAAUCACUGGGCGUAAAGGGAGCGUAGGCGGAUGUUCAAGCGGAUUGUACAAUACCGGGGCCCAACCCCGGACCUGCAGUUCGAACUGGACAUCUUGGAUAGUUCAGGGGCAGGC